AGGGUGACAGGUGGUGCAUGGUUGUCGUCAGCUCGUGUCGUGAGAUGUUGGGUUAAGUCCCGCAACGAGCGCAACCCUCGCCUCUAGUUGCCAGCAUUCGGUUGGGCACUCUAGAGGGACUGCCGGCGACAAGUCGGAGGAAGUGGGGAUGACGUCAAAUCAUCAUGCCCCUUAUGACCUGGGCUACACACGUGCUACAAUGGGCGGUACAAAGGGCUGCGAACCCGCGAGGGGGAGCGAAUCCCAAAAAGCCGCUCUCAGUUCGGAUUGCAGGCUGCAACUCGCCUGCAUGAAGCCGGAAUCGCUAGUAAUCGCGGAUCAGCAUGCCGCGGUGAAUACGUUCCCGGGCCUU
RNAcentral lists this ribosomal RNA (352 nucleotides) under uncultured Geobacillus sp. RNAcentral's name for it is "bacterial SSU rRNA". It matches the Rfam family "Bacterial small subunit ribosomal RNA", at positions 1028 to 1382 of the family's 1533-position model. Lineage: Bacteria; Bacillati; Bacillota; Bacilli; Caryophanales; Anoxybacillaceae. The record is from RNAcentral.